UUCUUGCUUUUUUAUUAUUCAUUUUUUUAUUAUUGUUAAUAAUAAUAAUGAAUAUCAGAUCUUUAUGAUGAUGUUUGGUUUUUGAUUUGCAGAUGUUGGUUGUGAAUCUCUUUGCUUUAGUGGCGAUAAAUCAGCAUUCAAUGAUGUCGUGUAAAGAUGAGAUGAUGGUGAUAUAUCCUCGCAGCGAAGGAUGAAGCGAUGAACUUUUAUCUUUCAUAUUUCACAGUUUUUCCUUAAACAUCAUCUAUUACGCAACCAUAGUUUUUUUUAUUCAUUUAUUCCUUUUAUUGUUUAGUAUUUUUGUUCCUUUUAAUUUAUAUUUGGUUUUGUUUUGCAGUUGAUCGUAAUCGUUCCUCAUAGUCAAUAUUGAAACAAUAAAAUUGGAUAUGGACGUUGACUUUCGUACGAGUGUAUAGGUGAGGUACGUUCAAAAAUGUUUCGUGGGAAACUCGAAAGUGUUUAUGGGAAUCCUGAUCAAUUUCCGCAAGAGGAUUAUCUGUGUUUUCUUGGUUUAGGAGCAGGAGAUUGUCAAGAAGGUUUUUAAGAUCAAGAAACAAAAGGAGAAUGUUGGAAAUAAAUAGAUUUGUAAAAACUUUUUUGUGUUGUAUUAGAUGAAGGAAAUUUUGACUUUCAAGUAGAUAACAAAUGCGUGUUUUCAUGUUGUUGGUUUGGUUCGACUAAAUCGUUUCUUUUGCGUAAAGGUUAAUUUAGGUUCUUUGUAUUUAUGAAGACCCUGAAUUUGUAUGGGGUGGCAUCCAAGGGUUCGACAAAGGGGUCUAAUAAGUGAUAUGGCGUAGGAGUUCAUCACGGUUACAUUAUAGGUUGAGUUUAUUUGGUUUUUCUUAGGCUUUAGUCAAUUCACUGAUAUAAACUCUUUCACGUUUGUCGACUGCAUUAUAAGUUCUUGGCUUAUCUGCAUUUGUAUCAAAUACCAAUAGUUGUAAGG
Papaver somniferum (opium poppy) is the source of this 946-nucleotide long non-coding RNA. RefSeq lists it as uncharacterized. The record is from RefSeq and is a predicted model, not a curated record. NCBI's taxonomy places the organism in Eukaryota, Viridiplantae, Streptophyta, Magnoliopsida, Ranunculales, Papaveraceae. The transcript is spliced from 4 exons.